This 497-nucleotide ribosomal RNA is filed under the name uncultured bacterium. RNAcentral describes it as "partial 16S ribosomal RNA". It matches the Rfam family "Bacterial small subunit ribosomal RNA", at positions 28 to 507 of the family's 1533-position model. The record is from RNAcentral.
GACGAACGCUGGCGGCGUGCCUAAUACAUGCAAGUAGAACGCUGAAGAGAGGAGCUUACUCUUCUUGGAUGAGUUGCGAACGGGUGAGUAACGCGUAGGUAACCUGCCUUGUAGCGGGGGAUAACUAUUGGAAACGAUAGCUAAUACCGCAUAACAAUGGAUGACACAUGUCAUUUAUUUGAAAGGGGCAAUUGCUCCACUACAAGAUGGACCUGCGUUGUAUUAGCUAGUAGGUGAGGUAAUGGCUCACCUAGGCGACGAUACAUAGCCGACCUGAGAGGGUGAUCGGCCACGCUGGGACUGAGACACGGCCCAGACUCCUACGGGAGGCAGCAGUAGGGAAUCUUCGGCAAUGGGGGCAACCCUGACCGAGCAACGCCGCGUGAGUGAAGAAGGUUUUCGGAUCGUAAAGCUCUGUUGUAAGUCAAGAACGGGUGUGAGAGUGGAAAGUUCACACUGUGACGGUAGCUUACCAGAAAGAGACGGCUAACUACGUG